UACGGAGGGGGCGAGCGUUAUUCGGAAUUAUUGGGCGUAAAGGGCGCGUAGGCGGCCCGGUAAGUCAAAGGUGAAAUCCCUCGGCUCAACUGAGGAACUGCCUUUGAAACUGUCGGGCUUGAGGCCGGGAGGGGGUAGCGGAAUUCCCAGUGUAGCGGUGGAAUGCGUAGAUAUUGGGAGGAACACCAGUGGCGAAGGCGGCUACCUGGACCGGUUCUGACGCUGAGGCGCGAAAGCGUGGGUAGCAAACAGG
RNAcentral lists this ribosomal RNA (253 nucleotides) under uncultured bacterium. RNAcentral's name for it is "partial 16S ribosomal RNA". It matches the Rfam family "Bacterial small subunit ribosomal RNA", at positions 524 to 776 of the family's 1533-position model. The record is from RNAcentral.